This 73-nucleotide transfer RNA is filed under the name Dehalococcoidia bacterium. RNAcentral's name for it is "tRNA-Pro". It matches the Rfam family "tRNA". Rfam says of the family: Transfer RNA (tRNA) molecules are approximately 80 nucleotides in length. Their secondary structure includes four short double-helical elements and three loops (D, anti-codon, and T loops). Further hydrogen bonds mediate the characteristic L-shaped molecular structure. tRNAs have two regions of fundamental functional importance: the anti-codon, which is responsible for specific mRNA codon recognition, and the 3' end, to which the tRNAs corresponding amino acid is attached (by aminoacyl-tRNA synthetases). tRNAs cope with the degeneracy of the genetic code in two manners: having more than one tRNA (with a specific anti-codon) for a particular amino acid; and 'wobble' base-pairing, i.e. permitting non-standard base-pairing at the 3rd anti-codon position. Lineage: Bacteria; Bacillati; Chloroflexota; Dehalococcoidia. The record is from RNAcentral.
CGGGGCGUAGCGUAGCCUGGCAGGCACAGUGUUCGGGACGUUGAGGUCAGAGGUUCAAAACCUCUCGCUCCAG